RNAcentral lists this unclassified non-coding RNA (302 nucleotides) under plant metagenome. RNAcentral describes it as "partial contains 5.8S ribosomal RNA, internal transcribed spacer 2, and large subunit ribosomal RNA". The stretch from base 1 to 105 matches the Rfam family "5.8S ribosomal RNA", at positions 50 to 154 of the family's 154-position model. The record is from RNAcentral.
GAAAUGCGAUAAGUAGUGUGAAUUGCAGAAUUCAGUGAAUCAUCGAAUCUUUGAACACACAUUGCGCCCUUUGGUAUUCCUUAGGGCAUGCCUGUUCGAGCGUCAUUUAAACCUUCAAGCUCAGCUUGGUGAUGGGUGACUGUCCCCUCCUCGCGGGGGGACUCGCCUCAAAAACAUUGGCGGCCGGUACAUUGGCUUCGAGCGCAGCAGAAACGCGGUCUCGAGCCCGGUGGAUCGGCUCCCACAAGCCUAUUCUUUUAUUUUGACCUCGGAUCAGGUAGGGAUACCCGCUGAACUUAAGC